CGGGUGAGUAACACGUGAGCAAUCUGCCCCUGACUCUGGGAUAAGCGCUGGAAACGGCGUCUAAUACCGGAUAUGAGCUGCGGCCGCAUGGUCGGCAGUUGGAAAGAUUUUUCGGUCAGGGAUGAGCUCGCGGCCUAUCAGCUUGUUGGUGAGGUAAUGGCUCACCAAGGCGUCGACGGGUAGCCGGCCUGAGAGGGUGACCGGCCACACUGGGACUGAGACACGGCCCAGACUCCUACGGGAGGCAGCAGUGGGGAAUAUUGCACAAUGGGCGGAAGCCUGAUGCAGCAACGCCGCGUGAGGGAUGACGGCCUUCGGGUUGUAAACCUCUUUUAGCAGGGAAGAAGCGAAAGUGACGGUACCUGCAGAAAAAGCGCCGGCUAACUACGUGCCAGCAGCCGCGGUAAUACGUAGGGCGCAAGCGUUAUCCGGAAUUAUUGGGCGUAAAGAGCUCGUAGGCGGUCUGUCGCGUCUGCUGUGAAAACCCGAGGCUCAACCUCGGGCCUGCAGUGGGUACGGGCAGACUAGAGUGCGGUAGGGGAGAUUGGAAUUCCUGGUGUAGCGGUGGAAUGCGCAGAUAUCAGGAGGAACACCGAUGGCGAAGGCAGAUCUCUGGGCCGUAACUGACGCU
This 631-nucleotide ribosomal RNA is filed under the name Microbacterium sp. RNAcentral describes it as "bacterial SSU rRNA". It matches the Rfam family "Bacterial small subunit ribosomal RNA", at positions 103 to 747 of the family's 1533-position model. The record is from RNAcentral. Lineage: Bacteria; Bacillati; Actinomycetota; Actinomycetes; Micrococcales; Microbacteriaceae.